AAAAAUGAAUCAAACUAUGAAAAUACAUUCAAUUUAUUAUUUUGUUUCUUCAUGUGUAGUAAACCACAGGGUAAUCUAAUAACACAUAUAAGAUCCACUUCCACGUAUAUGCAUCCCUAUACUACACACCACUGCUGCCGCAUACUUUAUCCAAUACUGGCAAAAUACCUACGCUUUGCUAUGGACAGAAGAAAAAUAAUAUUAUAAUAUGUCAUAGAAAAAUAUAUCUUUUAUCAAAUAUAUGUUAGUCACUACUAAAAAAACCCUCCUAUAGACCGGCCUCAUAGGUGCCAGUUCAUUUAAAAUCGGCACCUAUAUACCUUUUCCCAUCUCCGGACGAUGAAAAUGAUAUAAAACCGACACCUUUAAGCUAAUAGGUGUCGGUUCUAAAGAAAAACCGGUACCACUACUAUAGGUGCCGGUUUUUUAAUAGAACCGACACCUAUAAUAUAUGUGUCGGUUCUAUAAAAAAAAAAGACACCUAUAGCCGGUUCUAUAAAAAAAAACGACACCUAUAGCUAUAGUAUAGGUGUUGGUUUUUUAACAGAACCAACACCUAUACAACGAGCUGAGCCAAUCGGAUGUGGCUCCACCGACGAAAAUAUCUACCCACCGAUUUUAAGUGUGCAUCGCUUCCUUUUCUCUCCCAUCCUCUUUUCAUCUCUCUCCCGUCCUUUUCUCUCCCAUCCUUUUCUCUCCCCCAUUAUCUUCUUUUCUAUAUUUGGAUCCCUCCCAACGGUUGCUCACGGCGGGCGGCCAGUUGGCAGGUGGUGCGCGGAGGACGGCUGGCGGCCUCCCCAUGGCGGAGCGCGGAGGACGGCGAGCGUCCGUGUCGAGGGGCUUAGGGAGUGGCCGGUCGUCGGGCGGCCUCCCCACGGUGGCGCGCGGAGGUCGGUGGGCGGCCUCCCUACGGCGGCGCGCGGAGGAUUGUGAGCAGCCGCGUUGAGGGGCUCAGGGGCGGCUGGUCGGCGGGCGGCCUCCCCACGGUGGAGCGUGGAGGUCGGCGGGUGGCCUCCCUUCGGUGGCGCGCAGAGGACGGCGAGUGGCCACGUCGAGGGGCUCAGGGGCGGCCGGUCGGCGGGCGGCCUCCCCACGGUGGCGCACGGAGGUCGGCGGGCUGUCUCCCUACGACGGGGCGCGGAGGAUGGCGGGCGGCCUCCCUACGGCGGCGCGUGGAGGUCGGUCGAUGGGUGGCCACAUCGAGGGGCACAGACUCCCCACAGCGGCGUGCGACGGUGAACUCCCCACGGUGGCGCGGAGGGAGGCGAGCGGCCGGUCGGCGGGUGGCCUCUGACGCGUCCGUUUGUGCUUCUUUCCCUUCCUCCCUCUUGGAUAAUUCAAGAUUUGUUCUUUGAUGUUCUUGAAUCUCAGGUCUCUAUGUUGUUUGG
Molecule: long non-coding RNA, 1388 nt
Filed under: Oryza sativa tropical japonica subgroup
Lineage: Eukaryota; Viridiplantae; Streptophyta; Magnoliopsida; Poales; Poaceae
Description: lncRNA OsKeNa_08g0018460
Source: RNAcentral